Molecule: ribosomal RNA, 408 nt
Filed under: Bacillus sp. R-32527
Lineage: Bacteria; Bacillati; Bacillota; Bacilli; Caryophanales; Bacillaceae
Description: bacterial SSU rRNA
Rfam family: Bacterial small subunit ribosomal RNA
Source: RNAcentral
UGGCUCAGGACGAACGCUGGCGGCGUGCCUAAUACAUGCAAGUCGAGCGAACCACUUCGGUGGUUAGCGGCGGACGGGUGAGUAACACGUGGGCAACCUGCCUGUAAGACUGGGAUAACUUCGGGAAACCGGAGCUAAUACCGGAUAAUCCUUUUCCUCUCAUGAGGAAAAGCUGAAAGUCGGUUUCGGCUGUCACUUACAGAUGGGCCCGCGGCGCAUUAGCUAGUUGGUGAGGUAACGGCUCACCAAGGCGACGAUGCGUAGCCGACCUGAGAGGGUGAUCGGCCACACUGGGACUGAGACACGGCCCAGACUCCUACGGGAGGCAGCAGUAGGGAAUCUUCCACAAUGGACGAAAGUCUGAUGGAGCAACGCCGCGUGAGCGAUGAAGGCCUUCGGGUCGUAAAG